UCUGAUCUUAGAGUAAGAUUGAAAUUGCAUUGGGUAGGGAUUAAGUGACAAGUUGUAAACGGGUGAGUUUAGCUUUGAAUUAAUACUACUGAUAGUGGAUUUCCUCCCUGGCUUGGUAGCCCCCAGAUGUAGGUCAUGUUGGACUGAACUGGGUAAACAAUUACUUGUGUUAUUUACUGCACUUAUGUUUAAGUUCUGC
RNAcentral lists this long non-coding RNA (199 nucleotides) under Lathyrus oleraceus (garden pea). RNAcentral's name for it is "Pisum sativum (pea) long non-coding RNA (PSAT_LNC000997)". Lineage: Eukaryota; Viridiplantae; Streptophyta; Magnoliopsida; Fabales; Fabaceae. The record is from RNAcentral.